This 220-nucleotide unclassified non-coding RNA is filed under the name uncultured Tomentella. RNAcentral describes it as "sequence contains ITS2". Lineage: Eukaryota; Fungi; Basidiomycota; Agaricomycetes; Thelephorales; Thelephoraceae. The record is from RNAcentral.
ACACCUCAACUCUCAUGGUUUGCCAUGAUGAGCUUGGACUCUGGAGGUCUUGCUGGCUCAUGGUCAGCUCCUCUUAAAUGAAUCAGCUUUCCAGUGUUUGGGGGCAUCACAGGUGUGAUAACUAUCUACGCUUGUGGUGUCCUCCCAGGUAACCUUCAAGCAUGGAGGUCGCUGGAGCUAAUAAAUGCACAUCUCUCACUGUAGAGAUGGCUUUUUAGAU